RNAcentral lists this ribosomal RNA (372 nucleotides) under uncultured organism. Its description in RNAcentral is "bacterial SSU rRNA". It matches the Rfam family "Bacterial small subunit ribosomal RNA", at positions 526 to 896 of the family's 1533-position model. The record is from RNAcentral.
CAGAGGGUGCAAGCGUUGUUCGGAAUUAUUGGGCGUAAAGCGCGUGUAGGCGGCCUGGCAAGUUGGGUGUGAAAGCCCUCGGCUUAACCGAGGAAGUGCGCCCAAAACUACGAGGCUUGAGUACCGGAGAGGGUGGCGGAAUUCCCGGUGUAGAGGUGAAAUUCGUAGAUAUCGGGAGGAACACCAGUGGCGAAGGCGGCCACCUGGACGGAUACUGACGCUGAGACGCGAAAGCGUGGGUAGCAAACAGGAUUAGAUACCCUGGUAGUCCACGCCGUAAACGAUGAGCGCUAGGUGUUGUGGGUGUUGACCCCUGCAGUGCCGCAGCUAACGCAUUAAGCGCUCCGCCUGGGAAGUACGGCCGCAAGGCUA